Long non-coding RNA from Falco peregrinus (peregrine falcon), 3562 nucleotides. RefSeq lists it as uncharacterized. The transcript has 2 exons. The record is from RefSeq and is a predicted model, not a curated record. Lineage: Eukaryota; Metazoa; Chordata; Aves; Falconiformes; Falconidae.
CCUCUCCCCUCUGGCGGCCUGACAGGGCUGGCGGCUGCAGCGCCGGCCUGGGGCUGUGUCCCGAUUCCCGAGCGGCGGGUGGCCGGGUUUGUGGGGAAAGGCACAUACAGAGGUAUGAUGGUGAUCCAGGCAAUGUAACUAUUGCAUUCUUUGGUGGCUUCAGAUCUUCUCCAUGUCUUCCAGCAUAACCAUCCAGGUAGCAGAUAAUUUGAAGGUAGGUCACUACCAGCUGUCUCUGAUGGGAACUGUUGCAAACGCUAGUGAAGAUGUGGUUGGGCUGUCCCGAGAUCUGCAGCCCCAUACACCUGUCACCUUAUUUCCAAAUAACGAUGUUACCUGCAGUGCCUUUUUGUGCAGUAGCAACAUGGGCAAGGACUAUUGUUCAUGGCUUAAUCUGCCCACUUCAGCUCUUCCCUCUGCCCCAGGGGGGACUCCCCUGCCAGGGUGGCAUCUGGUACCCUGAAAAUCCCCUGUUGGCAAGUGAGGUAGAUGCCUAUGUCAGAGCAUACAGCUAAAUUCAGGUCUUAAGUAUUGACACUGCUUUAAAAAGAUGAGGCUGGUGUCUGAGCUGCUUGGCUGUCCCACUCUUUUUGCUUGCCAAAGAGCCAUGCUGCUUGGCCAGGCCUGUGUGUGCAUGGAGAGGUAGCUCUCGUGCCUGGCUGUCUUAAAUCAAUGUGCUAAAAAAGGAGGAAGCUGGGAAACAAAGAGUCAGAGAGGUGACUUGACCCAGAAGCAGUGACUUCACUUGCAAAUGUAAAUAAAUUAGUAAUAAUUUAAUUAAGGGCAUCUCCCCAUGACCUUGUAUUGGCCAGAUCACAAACCAAACUUCGCCCACCCUUUUUUAAACUAUAUUAAUUUUAGCUAAAAUAUUUUCACAAAGCAUUUUGACCCAAUGUAGGCAAUACCUUACUGUCUUUACUUUCUAUAACAAGUCAGUAUUUCUGAAUUAUGCUUCAUAUUACCACAGUGCGACCAUUCAAUCCUGAUGCCUGUGUAGCCUGGAAAAGCUUGGUUUGUGCUGGAUCGUGCCCAAAUUCAUUUAUGUAUUUUAAGUCACGUGGUGCUGCUUGUUUCAUUUGGAAUCACGUGCUGUAUCUGUGGAAUACCACCUAAUGUUAAAUUCCACUAGAUAUGGGAUAAUUUUUUAUUCAUAUGCAAUAUCUGAUUGAAAUGUUAUUGGCAGUGUAUGAGGUAUGCACAUAUACAUAUGAAGAUGAAUAAGUAUUUUCUUAGGUCUGUGGGAUUUCAGUUGCAUUCCGAGGGCAUGAUUCAUUUCCUCCUCUGAAACUCCUGCUAUUGGUGCUGAGGGUGUGGAGCUUGCCCCUACAGGCCAAAUAGGCGGAGCUGUCCAGGAAAGAGUUGGGUCAUGGGACUGUCCAGUGGAUGUGCUGAAUCAGUGCAAUUCACAAGUUGUUUGAUCCAUACCUUUUCUGAAUGUUUUGAACUACUCUUCUGUCUGUGCUAAUGAACUCCUGAUCUUAGUGAACACUGACUGAAUUGUAAUUUCCCAGUGAGGAGUACCUUAGCUAACACAGCUGCCAUCAUACGGAAAACAGGACCAAAAAGGAGGGCCCACUGCACCCCGAGGGCUGUGCAUCAAUGACAGUUACCUGUCAUUCAUAACUCUUGACACUUGGAUUCUGCCUGCAGAUACAUGCUAGAGCUGUGAUGCUCCUGUGAGCACGAGAGCUGACAGCAGUGGAGUCACACCAAGAUAAAUCAGCCCCUUUGUAGAUCAUACAUUGCCACCUUACAGCUAGUUUUGGUCUACUAAUGCCAUACUCUCUCCAUUUCUGGGUGUCAAUACCUGGGUGACUUGUGCAGAUCCUUGCGCACAGUCAGGCUACAAGCAAGUGACAUCUAAUAGGCAGAGGAGUUUUCUUUCAGCUUGGUCCUACAGCAAUGCUAGGUAUAUAGGCCCCAUUCUCGUGAUUUAUGCAAUGCUGUUUAGCUGGUGCCACAUUAAUGUCAGUGGGUGAGUGUUCCUGUAUCUCAUGUCCUUGAUUACACUUCUGUUCCUAGAAUUUAUCAAAAGUGUGCCCCCAAGCCCCACAAAAAAGUCUAAAUAAGUCAAAAAGGCUGUUACUAUAAUUUCCCAUUUGAAAUGUAUUUUAUUAGAAAUGUUAUUCUCUGGAUAAAACAAUUAUCAGUCUCUGAUUCUGCAGUGGUGUUUUAGACUUAGUUAAUAAAUCAUGCUUGUCACUUUUCAUUUAGAAAGGAUUUUACAGACAUAAUUAAUUAAACCUGACGGUAUCCUUGUGGGAUAAGUAAGUACUCUGACUUUUUAAAACAGUGGCACUCAGGCACACUGGUUAUACUACUUUCUCAAGUCAGUGGAAGGACCAAGACUAGAAUUUAAAGCUUCCUGCUAUCCUAACAUAAUUUAAGAGAUGAGACUAUCCGUUCUUUUCUUAUUUCAUUAUGAUAUCCAUGUGUGUGAUGCCUGAAUUAUUAGGUGUGGUGCUGUGGCCUGUAGUAUGCAGUGUGGUAGACUGGAAUAUUUUCUGCUUAAAAUCUGUUACUUGAUUUAACAGGGAGGACAGUUUUUUCAGUAUCUUUAUCUGGAACCAUCAGACAUGUAACUGUCGUAAUGCUGCUAUUCAUUCAUUCAUUCAUUCAUUCAUUCAUUCACCCUUAUGGUGUCCUCCAGUAUAUUCCAUUUUAAUAGUAGUAGCAGUGCUUUAUAGUGCUUAUUAACGGUCUGUCAAGACCAAGAUCAAAUUAUGCAAGACUACUGAGAGGAGAGUAAGGUACUCAUCGGCCCUUGACUUUAAUCUGUAUGUGAAAGAUGCCUGUGGGAGUGAAGAACACAAAACCGUUGUUCACAAGGUACCCAGAUUAACAAAGGAUGGGUCAAAAGUUGCUCUGAUAAGAGUUCAAUGUUUCUCACCUGUAAAAAUGUUGCUAGACAUAAAGGAGAGAGGGUGAAAGAUGCUACUUAAAAUUUGAAACAGAUGUGUAUGUUCCUUUUAGAAUAUUAUAAGUGUGCAGAGAUAGUAACAAAGGUAAUUUUUUUCCACCAAAGUCACUUCAAGAAUUUAAAAACAUGUCUUUUAAGCAUGGGUUUUCUGUCUGCUAGGCAGUUGGUCACAUACUACUCUAUAUAUGGAGAUUGGCUCAUCUGGAUAUAUUUUCUUUUACAUUUUAAUGGUAUCCCAAAGUGUAAGUUCCAGAUAAUAUAUCUGCAAAACUUAAAUGUCUUACACUCUUUCAUAUUAUUUUUGCAUGGAGGAUCGUGAUAGGAUUACCUUUGUGUGCUUGUUCUUAGGACAAUAAUUAAGAUGCUGUAUGAUAUUAGGGAACAUUUUUUACUUCAGAUACUGUGACAUCAUACUGUUUGACAAAAAUAUAAUUAACCGUAAUGAAUCUAAGUUGAUAUUUGCAAGUGCAGCUUCCUGCCAAAUGUCAAUAGUCAUCUGCUUCAGUUUCUGUGUCAUCAGUGCAAUGGGUAGAGACAGUGUGUUAAGAUACCUGAUACAGGGUUGGGAGCAGGUGGAGGAGAAAUGCAAAUGUUACAUUACUUAUUAUCCUUAUAUUAAUAAAAUAGCUACUGUUAAAUAUA